AGGGUUGUGGCUCAGUGGCAGAACAUCUGCUUUACAUGCAAAUGACCCCAGGUUCAAUCCGUGGCAUCCUCA
Molecule: transfer RNA, 72 nt
Filed under: Sphaerodactylus townsendi
Lineage: Eukaryota; Metazoa; Chordata; Lepidosauria; Squamata; Sphaerodactylidae
Description: tRNA-Val
Rfam family: tRNA
About the family: Transfer RNA (tRNA) molecules are approximately 80 nucleotides in length. Their secondary structure includes four short double-helical elements and three loops (D, anti-codon, and T loops). Further hydrogen bonds mediate the characteristic L-shaped molecular structure. tRNAs have two regions of fundamental functional importance: the anti-codon, which is responsible for specific mRNA codon recognition, and the 3' end, to which the tRNAs corresponding amino acid is attached (by aminoacyl-tRNA synthetases). tRNAs cope with the degeneracy of the genetic code in two manners: having more than one tRNA (with a specific anti-codon) for a particular amino acid; and 'wobble' base-pairing, i.e. permitting non-standard base-pairing at the 3rd anti-codon position.
Source: RNAcentral